RNAcentral lists this ribosomal RNA (468 nucleotides) under uncultured bacterium. RNAcentral describes it as "partial 16S ribosomal RNA". It matches the Rfam family "Bacterial small subunit ribosomal RNA", at positions 28 to 507 of the family's 1533-position model. The record is from RNAcentral.
GACGAACGCUGGCGGCGUGCUUAACACAUGCAAGUCGAACGGAAAGGCCCUGCUUUUGUGGGGUGCUCGAGUGGCGAACGGGUGAGUAACACGUGAGUAACCUGCCCUUGACUUUGGGAUAACUUCAGGAAACUGGGGCUAAUACCGGAUAGGAGCUCCUGCUGCAUGGUGGGGGUUGGAAAGUUUCGGCGGUAGGGGAUGGACUCGCGGCUUAUGAGCUUGUUGGUGGGGUAGUGGCUUACCAAGUCUUUGACGGGUAGCCGGCCUGAGAGGGUGACCGGCCACAUGGGGACUGAGAGACGGCGCAGAGUCCUACGGGAGGCAGCAGUGGGGAAUAUGGCACAAUGGGAGGAAGCCUGAUGCAGCAACGCCGCGUGCGGGAUGACGGCCUUCGGGUUGUAAACCGCUUUCGCCUGUGACGAAGCGUGAGUGACGGUAAUGGGUAAAGAAGCACCGGCUAACUACGUG